RNAcentral lists this ribosomal RNA (496 nucleotides) under uncultured bacterium. Its description in RNAcentral is "partial 16S ribosomal RNA". It matches the Rfam family "Bacterial small subunit ribosomal RNA", at positions 29 to 507 of the family's 1533-position model. The record is from RNAcentral.
AUGAACGCUGGCGGCGUGCCUAAUACCUGCAAGUCGAGCGAACGGACGAGAAGCUUGCUUCUCUGAUGUUAGCGGCGGACGGGCGAGUAACACGUGGAUAACCUACCUAUAAGACUGGGAUAACUUCGGGAAACCGGAGCUAAUACCGGAUAAUAUUUUGAACCGCAUGGUUCAAAAGUGAAAGACGGUCUUGCUGUCACUUAUAGAUGGAUCCGCGCUGCAUUAGCUAGUUGGUAAGGUAACGGCUUACCAAGGCAACGAUGCAUAGCCGACCUGAGAGGGUGAUCGGCCACACUGGAACUGAGACACGGUCCAGACUCCUACGGGAGGCAGCAGUAGGGAAUCUUCCGCAAUGGGCGAAAGCCUGACGGAGCAACGCCGCGUGAGUGAUGAAGGUCUUCGGAUCGUAAAACUCUGUUAUUAGGGAAGAACAUAUGUGUAAGUAACUGUGCACAUCUUGACGGUACCUAAUCAGAAAGCCACGGCUAACUACGUG